GGUCAUGAGUGCCAGCGCAAAGCCCCGGCUUGCUGGACGGCAACCCUCCUUCGCGGUGGGGUGCCCCGGGUGAGGACCAGGCCGCACCGUCCGGUGGGGCAAGCGCGAGAC
RNAcentral lists this non-coding RNA (111 nucleotides) under Intrasporangium chromatireducens Q5-1. RNAcentral describes it as "Intrasporangium sp. Q5-1 SAM (S-adenosyl methionine) riboswitch aptamer". It matches the Rfam family "SAM (S-adenosyl methionine) riboswitch aptamer". From Rfam's summary of the family: SAM-IV is a mRNA element that regulates gene expression via direct sensing of S-adenosylmethionine (SAM or AdoMet). SAM-IV riboswitches share conserved nucleotide positions with the previously described SAM-I riboswitches sequence analysis and molecular recognition experiments suggest that SAM-I and SAM-IV riboswitches share similar ligand binding sites, but have different scaffolds. The record is from Rfam by way of RNAcentral. Lineage: Bacteria; Bacillati; Actinomycetota; Actinomycetes; Micrococcales; Intrasporangiaceae. RNAcentral also lists the same sequence under 1 other name.